Molecule: long non-coding RNA, 1451 nt
Filed under: Olea europaea subsp. europaea
Lineage: Eukaryota; Viridiplantae; Streptophyta; Magnoliopsida; Lamiales; Oleaceae
Source: RNAcentral
UAAAUAUAUUUAUUAAAUAUUAAACUAUAAUAUAAUAUACAUUAAUUAUUUCCACUCCAUGCCACCUCACUCACCCCAUCCUAUCACCUCACUACACCACUUUCCCUUCAUCUCUCCAUCGGAGAUAGCCAUCGGCUCCAGCAUUCACUGUGGAGAUCGCUCAGGCAGCAGCUCUAGCGACUGGUCCGACAACCUUUCCGAAAAACUGCUGCAGCGAACGCUAGGUGAUUGCUCCGGCAAACUGCUCCGGCGACUAUUCCACUAAUUGUUCUGGCUCCGAUGAUAGAAAAAUCUCCAAAAAUUGUGAUGGUCGUAGUGGUGCAUUGUAGUUAUCAGAUUUGCAACCGCGUUAUCUGUUACCAUACCUAUGUUAUAUGUGACUAAUUCACUGACUUAUGUUAUCUGAGAAUCAUCGCGACCAACUUUGCUUUCAGUGUGACUAAUUGUGACCAAAUUUGUAUUCAACGUGACUGUUUGUGACCAAAUCAAUCUCAAGUCACAAUCGGUCACAAUCAAUACAAAAUUGAUCACAAACAGUCACAACCAGAUCUUGAACAGAAAAACCAGAUCUCCAACCACUAUAGCAAAUCUGUUCAAAAAAAAUAAUAAUAACCACAAGUAUUACUAACAUCUUUAACUCAAAUUGAUGACCAUAAAUACUACAUUCACUUCAAAUCCAUAACGAUCAUCACUACCAUAACUUCCACCAUCCCUUCAAAAAACACCAAUCAGCACCACCACACUUCUUUCGUGAAACUCCAGUGAGAGAAGUAGUAGAUGGUCAGAGUCUAGAGGGUGGGUGGGAAAGAAGUCAUAGAUUUGAUUUUUAGGUAAGAGAGUGCCGAACUAAUUUUUGGGAAAAAAAUAGAGUGUGUGGGUUAAAAAUUGAUACAAGAUCUAUGGUAAAUUGAUACGAGAUCCGUAACCAAGUUUGUAUUCAAUGUGAUUGUCUGUGACCAGAUCAAUUUCAAGUCACAAUCGGUCACAAUCAACACAAAAUAGGUUACAAACAGUCACAACCAGAUCUCGAACAGAAAAAACUAGAUCUCCAACCACCACAGCAGAUCUGUUCGAAAAAAUAAUAAUCACCACCAUCACUAAUAUCUUUAACUCAAAUCCACAACAACAAUCAUCAAUAACAUAACUUCCACCAACACCUUCAAAAAACACUAACCAAUUGAUUACUGAAUAUUUCUCAAUAAAAAUUUCCAAGAUUCUUCUUCACCAUGCCGAAAGGGGAGAUGGUUGGGUGGGUGGUGAUAGAGAAAGAGAGAGGGAGAGAGGAUAGGGCGAAGAAAGAGGUGGGAAAAUGAAAAUAUCUUGGGCUUGGAUUUGGAUUUGGGAAUGAAAUGGGGAUGGAAUGGGUUUCAUGUGCCAAAAAGGAAGAUGGUUGGGUGGGUGGUUGUGUAGAGAGAGAGAGAGAAUGAAAAUACUUGGGGCUUGAAUUUGGG